ACGGGUGAGUAACGCGUGAGAAUCUACCUACUAGUGGAGAAUACCCUCGAGAAAUUGAGGUUAAUACUGCAUACGUCCCGCAAGGGAGAAAGAUGGCCUCUUUGCUGUCGCUAGAAGAUGAGCUUGCGUACCAUUAGCUAGUUGGUAGGGUAAAGGCCUACCAAGGCUAUGAUGGUUAGCCGGCCUGAGAGGGCGAACGGCCACACUGGAACUUAGACACGGUCCAGACUCCUACGGGAGGCAGCAGUGAGGAAUAUUGCGCAAUGGGCGAAAGCCUGACGCAGCGACGCCGCGUGGAGGAUGAAGGUCUUCGGAUUGUAAACUUCUGUUAAGCGGGGCGAAAUAACUUGUUAUAAUACAGCAAGGAGAUGACGGUACCGCUAGAGAAAGCACCGGCUAACUUCGUGCCAGCAGCCGCGGUAAUACGAAGGGUGCGAGCGUUAUUCGGAUUUAUUGGGCGUAAAGGGUGCGCAGGCGGAAUGUUAAGUCAAUUGUUAAAUCCAUCGGCUCAACCGGUGGGCUGCGGUAGAUACUGGCAUUCUAGAGAGUGGGAGAGAGAAGUGGAAUUCUCGGAGUAGCGGUAAAAUG
Molecule: ribosomal RNA, 588 nt
Filed under: uncultured bacterium
Lineage: Bacteria
Description: bacterial SSU rRNA
Rfam family: Bacterial small subunit ribosomal RNA
Source: RNAcentral